RNAcentral lists this ribosomal RNA (482 nucleotides) under uncultured bacterium. RNAcentral's name for it is "partial 16S ribosomal RNA". It matches the Rfam family "Bacterial small subunit ribosomal RNA", at positions 30 to 507 of the family's 1533-position model. The record is from RNAcentral.
AUUGAACGCUGGCGGCAUGCUUUACACAUGCAAGUCGAACGGUAACAGGCCGCAAGGUGCUGACGAGUGGCGAACGGGUGAGUAAUGCAUCGGAACGUGCCCAGUCGUGGGGGAUAACUACUCGAAAGAGUAGAUAAUACCGCAUACGAUCUGUGGAUGAAAGCGGGGGACCGUAAGGCAUCGCGCGAUUGGAGCGGCCGAUGUCAGAUUAGGUAGUUGGUGGGGUAAAGGCUCACCAAGCCAACGAUCUGUAGCUGGUCUGAGAGGACGACCAGCCACACUGGGACUGAGACACGGCCCAGACUCCUACGGGAGGCAGCAGUGGGGAAUUUUGGACAAUGGGCGCAAGCCUGAUCCAGCAAUGCCGCGUGCAGGAAGAAGGCCUUCGGGUUGUAAACUGCUUUUGUACGGAACGAAACGGCUCUGGUUAAUACCCGGGGCUAAUGACGGUACCGUAAGAAUAAGCACCGGCUAACUACGUG